GAUGAUGCCCAGCUUGCUGGGCGGAUUAGUGGCGAACGGGUGAGUAAUACGUGAGUAACCUGCCCUUGACUCUGGGAUAAGCCUGGGAAACUGGGUCUAAUACUGGAUACUACCUCUUACCGCAUGGUGGGUGGUGGAAAGGGUUUUACUGGUUUUGGAUGGGCUCACGGCCUAUCAGCUUGUUGGUGGGGUAAUGGCUCACCAAGGCGACGACGGGUAGCCGGCCUGAGAGGGUGACCGGCCACACUGGGACUGAGACACGGCCCAGACUCCUACGGGAGGCAGCAGUGGGGAAUAUUGCACAAUGGGCGGAAGCCUGAUGCAGCGACGCCGCGUGAGGGAUGACGGCCUUCGGGUUGUAAACCUCUUUCAGUAGGGAAGAAGCGAGAGUGACGGUACCUGCAGAAGAAGCGCCGGCUAACUACGUGCCAGCAGCCGCGGUAAUACGUAGGGCGCAAGCGUUGUCCGGAAUUAUUGGGCGUAAAGAGCUCGUAGGCGGUUUGUCGCGUCUGCUGUGAAAGCCCGGGGCUCAACCCCGGGUCUGCAGUGGGUACGGGCAGACUAGAGUGCAGUAGGGGAGACUGGAAUUCCUGGUGUAGCGGUGAAAUGCGCAGAUAUCAGGAGGAACACCGAUGGCGAAGGCAGGUCUCUGGGCUGUUACUGACGCUGAGGAGCGAAAGCAUGGGGAGCGAACAGGAUUAGAUACCCUGGUAGUCCAUGCCGUAAACGUUGGGCACUAGGUGUGGGGGACAUUCCACGUUUUCCGCGCCGUAGCUAACGCAUUAAGUGCCCCGCCUGGGGAGUACGGCCGCAAGGCUAAAACUCAAAGGAAUUGACGGGGGCCCGCACAAGCGGCGGAGCAUGCGGAUUAAUUCGAUGCAACGCGAAGAACCUUACCAAGGCUUGACAUUCACCGGACCGCCCCAGAGAUGGGGUUUCCCUUCGGGGCUGGUGGACAGGUGGUGCAUGGUUGUCGUCAGCUCGUGUCGUGAGAUGUUGGGUUAAGUCCCGCAACGAGCGCAACCCUCGUUCUAUGUUGCCAGCACGUGAUGGUGGGGACUCAUAGGAGACUGCCGGGGUCAACUCGGAGGAAGGUGGGGAUGACGUCAAAUCAUCAUGCCCCUUAUGUCUUGGGCUUCACGCAUGCUACAAUGGCCGGUACAAAGGGUUGCGAUACUGUGAGGUGGAGCUAAUCCCAAAAAGCCGGUCUCAGUUCGGAUUGAGGUCUGCAACUCGACCUCAUGAAGUCGGAGUCGCUAGUAAUCGCAGAUCAGCAACGCUGCGGUGAAUACGUUCCCGGGCCUUGUACACACCGCCCGUCAAGUCACGAAAGUUGGUAACACCCGAAGCCGGUGGCCUA
This 1360-nucleotide ribosomal RNA is filed under the name Kocuria rosea. RNAcentral describes it as "bacterial SSU rRNA". It matches the Rfam family "Bacterial small subunit ribosomal RNA", at positions 68 to 1437 of the family's 1533-position model. Lineage: Bacteria; Bacillati; Actinomycetota; Actinomycetes; Micrococcales; Micrococcaceae. The record is from RNAcentral.